Long non-coding RNA from Hermetia illucens (black soldier fly), 883 nucleotides. RefSeq lists it as uncharacterized. The record is from RefSeq and is a predicted model, not a curated record. Lineage: Eukaryota; Metazoa; Arthropoda; Insecta; Diptera; Stratiomyidae. The transcript is spliced from 2 exons.
CGUUUUGAAUCAAUCACUUAAAGGAGCAGCCAUAGCAGUCCAUACUGUCAAACGGCAAUCCUAGUGAGGAAGAACACAACUUGCUCAAUUUUAAAGGAAAAAAUUUGGCUGGAACUAUAGUAUUUUCAACUGUUGCGUAGAAAAGCCGUUGGUAUAUUACAUACAUAUUUCGAUAAACGUUUCCCAGAUAAAUUAAGGAACACCAAAAGUUUCUUAAAACGGGGGUCUGAGAUAGCUGGCACUAGAAGAUCUUCAUAUGUAUUAAAAAUCCAACAGGAAACACAGAAAAAAGGGACGACAACAAAGCAGAGCUUGAAAGAACUGGAAAAAGAAAACUGAACAAAAGAAAAAUUAGUAGAUAAAGUCUGCAGUGGCGAUGGACAUUGUGAAACAAAGACAUCAACAAACAUGGGAAAAUGUCAAAGUAAUCAAACCAAUAUGCAAGACAAAAAAGCUGGGUGCCAGUGAAAAUUGUUUUUGAAAACUACCUUGAGACAGCGACAAAACCGCGCGGUGUUUGGGUUGUUUGAGCGUCAGCUCCUCAAUCCUGUUGUCGAGGUUUGAACAUCGAUUGUUAUGCCUGUUUGUUUUCAUUUUGCUGCUACUUUGCUGCGUCAUGAUAAUAAUAUUGAAGCACACACAAAAUUGAAAAAAAUGUGAAAAGAAAACAAAAAUAAGAAGAGGAACCUGUGCGGAAAAUUUUUGUUUUUUUUUCAUUUCUCAUAUGUCGAUAUUUCGGGGACUAAUUGUCCUUUUCCUCAGUGAGUUUUAGUCAUAUAUGGUAAAUUAAACUAAAAGCAAAAGCAAGUAAAUUAACUAAAAGCAAUCUGGACAAAACAUCAUACACAACAGUAGAAUUAACAAUAUAUGUAAUUUAAAUCCA